CCCUUAGAUGUUCUGGGCCGCACGCGCGCUACACUGAUCAGUGCAACAAGCAUCCGUCCUUGGCCGACAGGCCCGGGCAACCUUUGAACGCUGAUCGUGAUGGGGAUAGACUUUUGCAAUUUUUGGUCUUCAACGAGGAAUUCCUAGUAAACGCAAGUCAUCAACUUGCAUUGAUUACGUCCCUGCCCUUUGUACACACCGCCCGUCGCACCUACCGAUUGAAUGGUCCGGUGAAGCCUCCGGAUUGGCGUGCACCCUCGGGUGCUGCCGAGAAGUUGGCUAAACCUUACCAUUUAGAGGAAGGUGAAGUCGUAACA
Molecule: ribosomal RNA, 317 nt
Filed under: uncultured eukaryote
Lineage: Eukaryota
Description: partial 18S ribosomal RNA
Rfam family: Eukaryotic small subunit ribosomal RNA
Source: RNAcentral